GGGGCUGAUUCUGGAUUCGACGGGAUUUGCGAAACCCAAGGUGCAUGCCGAGGGGCGGUUGGCCUCGUAAAAAGCCGCAAAAAAAUAGUCGCAAACGACGAAAACUACGCUUUAGCAGCUUAAUAACCUGCUUAGAGCCCUCUCUCCCUAGCCUCCGCUCUUAGGACGGGGAUCAAGAGAGGUCAAACCCAAAAGAGAUCGCGUGGAUGCCCUGCCUGGGGUUGAAGCGUUAAAACGAAUCAGGCUAGUCUGGUAGUGGCGUGUCCGUCCGCAGGUGCCAGGCGAAUGUAAAGACUGACUAAGCAUGUAGUACCGAGGGUGUAGGAAUUUCGGACGCGGGUUCAACUCCCGCCAGCUCCACCA
RNAcentral lists this transfer-messenger RNA (363 nucleotides) under Salmonella enterica. RNAcentral's name for it is "Standard tmRNA". It matches the Rfam family "transfer-messenger RNA". From Rfam's summary of the family: Bacterial tmRNA, also known as 10Sa RNA or SsrA, is named for its dual tRNA and mRNA-like properties. The record is from RNAcentral. Lineage: Bacteria; Pseudomonadati; Pseudomonadota; Gammaproteobacteria; Enterobacterales; Enterobacteriaceae.